AGGAAGAAAGAAAGAAAGAAAGAAAGAAAGAAAGAAAGAAAGAAACAUCCCUCCUGCCCUGCCUGGUCACGCCCUCCAUCCCAGACCCAGGCAACCACCCAGAGGCUUUCUUUCCCUCUGGCUGACUUUGUCAUUUCCAGACUCCUAUAAAAAUAGAAUUGUACAAUAUGCACUCCCGCGUCUGCUUUUCUCCCUCAAUGCCAUGUUCUGAGGUCCAUCCUGCCAUAGUGUUAUCGCUGUCUGUCCUUUUUAUUGUUACAAUGACGUGUGGAUAUAUACCAGUUCUGUCCCUCUACCUGUUGAUGGGCACGUGGGCAGUUUCCAGCUUGGAGCCGUGAUGAGCGGUGCUGCUGGGAACAUUCAUGGGCAAGCCGUGUCUGGACAUAGCUUUCAUUUCUCUCGUGUAAACACCCAGAAGCGGAAUUAUUGUGCUGUCUGUCACUUUACAGGCAUUUCAGGAGAAAAAGCAUCUAGAGGUUGAAGAUUGGAAAUGUAACUAACAAUGUUUUAAAGAUGCCUUUGUGACAACCCUCCCUUCAUGUCCUUUGAUGUUUGUUGGAUCAAACUGGAAGGGAUGCAGGAGGUCGUGAAGCCAACUGUAGGUGACGCCCACAGCACCCAGGAGCUCUGCCCUGGCCUCCCGAUUUUCAGCCUGUGCAAAGAUGACUAAUUUAGCAAAUAUUUUUCAAAGACGGCUCGCAAGUUGGAAUGUAAAUUGAUAGGCGGCUUUUUAAAGCAAUUGGGAAAUACUUGCCGAGAGUAGAAAUGCCCGUGCUUCUGCGCAGGAGACCCACGUGUAGGAGCCGCUAAGAACACCGUGUGGAUGAACGUAUAUGCACAAGCAUGUCCUUUAGCAUCUGUAUCGCAAGAAAAAACUAGAACCAGGUGCCCGCCUUCUAGGAGAACCAUUCAGUCAACUCCGGUAUGCAGAUCAGAUAGAAUUUGAGGCCGCUUUCAGAAGUGAUUCUUUUUAUAAAUUCCAGCAAAUGAUGGACAGCAAACAAGGAUUACCCAUGAUACUCUGGGUGGUAGGGCUGGCUGGGAUUCUUGUUUCUUUCUAUUUAAAAAAAACAAAGUUUUGGGGGCGCCUGGGUGGCUCAGUUGGUUAAGCAUCGAACUU
Long non-coding RNA from Leopardus geoffroyi (Geoffroy's cat), 1120 nucleotides. RefSeq lists it as uncharacterized. The record is from RefSeq and is a predicted model, not a curated record. Lineage: Eukaryota; Metazoa; Chordata; Mammalia; Carnivora; Felidae. The transcript has 3 exons.